RNAcentral lists this unclassified non-coding RNA (331 nucleotides) under soil metagenome. RNAcentral describes it as "partial contains 5.8S ribosomal RNA, internal transcribed spacer 2, and large subunit ribosomal RNA". The stretch from base 1 to 120 matches the Rfam family "5.8S ribosomal RNA", at positions 35 to 154 of the family's 154-position model. The record is from RNAcentral.
GAUGAAGAACGCAGCGAAAUGCGAUAAGUAAUGUGAAUUGCAGAAUUCAGUGAAUCAUCGAAUCUUUGAACGCACAUUGCGCCCCCUGGUAUUCCGGGGGGCAUGCCCGUUCGAGCGUCAUUUCACCACUCAAGCCUCGCUUGGUAUUGGGCAACGCGGUCCGCCGCGUGCCUCAAAUCGACCGGCUGGGUCUUCUGUCCCCUAAGCGUUGUGGAAACUAUUCGCUAAAGGGUGUUCGGGAGGCUACGCCGUAAAACAACCCCAUUUCUAAGGUUGACCUCGGAUCAGGUAGGGAUACCCGCUGAACUUAAGCAUAUCAAUAAGCGGAGGA